AUUGAACGCUGGCGGAAUGCUUUACACAUGCAAGUCGAACGGCAGCACGGACUUCGGUCUGGUGGCGAGUGGCGAACGGGUGAGUAAUGUAUCGGAACGUGCCCAGUCGUGGGGGAUAACGUAGUGAAAAUUACGCUAAUACCGCAUACGAUCCAUGGCUGAAGGCGGGGGAUCGCAAGACCUCGCGCGAUUGGAGCGGCCGAUAUCAGAUUAGGUAGUUGGUGAGGUAAAGGCCCACCAAGCCAACGAUCUGUAGCUGGUCUGAGAGGACGACCAGCCACACUGGAACUGAGACACGGUCCAGACUCCUACGGGAGGCAGCAGUGGGGAAUUUUGGACAAUGGGCGAAAGCCUGAUCCAGCCAUUCCGCGUGCAGGAUGAAGGCCCUCGGGUUGUAAACUGCUUUUGUACAGAACGAAAAGGUUUCUACUAAUACUAGGAGCUCAUGACGGUACUGUAAGAAUAAGCACCGGCUAACUACGUGCCAGCCGCCGCAGUAC
This 500-nucleotide ribosomal RNA is filed under the name uncultured bacterium. RNAcentral describes it as "partial 16S ribosomal RNA". It matches the Rfam family "Bacterial small subunit ribosomal RNA", at positions 30 to 523 of the family's 1533-position model. The record is from RNAcentral.